Non-coding RNA from Aegilops tauschii subsp. strangulata, 1990 nucleotides. Lineage: Eukaryota; Viridiplantae; Streptophyta; Magnoliopsida; Poales; Poaceae. The record is from RefSeq and is a predicted model, not a curated record.
UCUUUUGAUAGUAGAUUUCAUUUAGGGUUAUACCAUAAUCAAUUUGUUGAAGGACCGAAAUAACCUAUAUUUCCAUAGAGAUUGUGUGGUAGCUUAAAUUGAACCAUUGUUUUCUGUUUUCGUUCACUCAUGCAAUAUUACAAUUUUUUUCAAUGAGUCGUAUUGACCAAUGUGGAAAAUCUAUGACUUUGCAAUGCCGUAUGAUUCUUCUCUUGCCUUGUGGUUACUUCUUUGCCGAGUAGGCAGUUAAAUCGCCGAAAGAAAUUCUUGGUGAGCUUUCCCACCACUUGUUUGUUGUAAUGUCUUGCUCAAAGUAGAAUUCCUUACUAAUUUGCAGAUUUCCCUCAAAUGAUUAAAUGAUUCUCCCCUAACAUAAAUGUGCCGACAAAAAAUGUUCUUUUCCACUUCACUACUUUGUAGAUGUUGAGGUAUGGCCUUGGAAGGUAGGGAGAGGCUUAAAAGAUGUAACGACAAUUGAGCUGUCCGUUUAGUGAAUUCGGUACUGCUGUUCCAUGGAAUGUCCAGUGGGAUGUUUGAAUUUUAUGGUUAUUUUUUUUGCCAUGUUGAAUAGUCGAUGCAGUGCAUCAGUAUUUUCCAUCUACUAAAAUUUUGCUUUAUCGUUAUGCAUGCUUGUUGAUGUUCUGCUCGAUUUUGUGUUUGGAUUAUAAAUGUGACGUUUCUAAGCUGUUAAGGUAAAGUUGCCUUGAUUUAAGUUUGUGUCCAGAAUACAUGGUUGCUUUACUGAAGAUGUAUCACAUAUGCUACAUAUUACUGUGUCCAGUACAGUUUUCCUGUAGCAAAGCUUGUUAGGCAAUUCCAAAAAUUGACUUCCAAUACAGGAUUUAUUUUGUCUUUUCUUGAGGUCAGUGCAUAUUGCACACUUCUAUGUAGUGUCUCCGACAAAGGUGUGGAAACAUGCAUUGACCAUUUUCUGGACAUAAUAUUCCUGUCAGAUGCUUCAUAUACAGAAUAUGCUUCAUGCUGAGAUGAUUUUUCAUACAGGUGCACGCUUAAAAAUUCAGAGUUGUUACAUGCUUGAACCAUCCAGGGCAUCGAAGUUCAGUCAAACCAUCAAGGUACCAAAAUGAAUCUUCUGCUAUCAUUUUUGUUAUUCCUAAACCUGUAGUUACGGAGAUCCAUGAGUUUCAUAGAACAUAUAAACACUGGUGGGCAACCCGCCGUUCUGGGGGCCUUCCCGCGCGCACGAUCGCUAGCCGUUCGAUCAGCUUCUUCGAUCGUUUUUCACCCUCGAUUUUUACUAUUCACUUCUAUCUUUUGUUACAACUUUGACUGCUUUACCGGGUGGCUGCCAUUGGGCCCAUAAAAUCAUUGGUCCACGCAGCAGCGGAGUGCUCGUCAACUCGGUCUGUGACAAGCAGCAGCAGCAGCAUCAUGGUCUACCCCCUUCCACCCUCUCUCAAUUUCCUCUCUUCGCUUCCCUGACCACGUCUCAUCUCUGUUGGGUCAAGGUUGGGUUGGAGCUACAGCGGCCAGCCACCAGGACGACGCUGACGGCCAAAGAAAGCUCCUUCCCCACCGCUGACAGCCAAAACCGCUCUUGUGCUUAUCAAGGUUAGUCAAUGUAUAGGACUGCGCUUUUGUGUGUCCUUUUCUUCAAGCUGUCAUUCAAGAGAAGAGAGGAGCAAGGCCUUGAUCCAGACUCGGGAGGAGGAGGAGACAAGGAGCAACACCUAUUUUUAUUGUCCGUCAAGCCCCAUUAUACUUUGCGGUUCCAGCCACCUAGUCACUAACUUGAAUGAGUAAGUAGACCAUUAUAUAUGAUGGUCUUGCUUCCUUUUGUGAUCAUGUAUCUAUGUUAGAUCCGGUGAGAAAAGGCGGCUUCCAAGCAGAGGAUGCGGCAGUGUUGGCCACGUUUGGUUUUCAUAAGCUAAUAAUGUAUCCCUUCCUGUCUACUUCCUUUGUGCACAACAUUGUAACUAAGCAUCUAUGUACCAGCAGUAAAGACUUGGGUGUCUGAAUAUUCUCACAA